RNAcentral lists this ribosomal RNA (301 nucleotides) under uncultured bacterium. Its description in RNAcentral is "partial 16S ribosomal RNA". It matches the Rfam family "Bacterial small subunit ribosomal RNA", at positions 509 to 807 of the family's 1533-position model. The record is from RNAcentral.
CAGUAGCCACGGGAAUACAGAGGGUGCGAGCGUUAAUCGGAUUUACUGGGCGUAAAGCGUGCGUAGGCGGCUUCUUAAGUCGGAUGUGAAAUCCCUGAGCUUAACUUAGGAAUUGCAUUCGAUACUGGGAAGCUAGAGUAUGGGAGAGGAUGGUAGAAUUCCAUGUGUAGCGGUGAAAUGCGUAGAGAUCUGGAGGAAUACCGAUGGCGAAGGCAGCCAUCUGGCCUAAUACUGACGCUGAGGUACGAAAGCAUGGGGAGCAAGCAGGAUUAGAUACCCGCGUAGUCCCUGUCUCUUAUAC